RNAcentral lists this ribosomal RNA (103 nucleotides) under Proteus mirabilis. Its description in RNAcentral is "partial 16S ribosomal RNA". It matches the Rfam family "Bacterial small subunit ribosomal RNA", at positions 1 to 103 of the family's 1533-position model. Lineage: Bacteria; Pseudomonadati; Pseudomonadota; Gammaproteobacteria; Enterobacterales; Morganellaceae. The record is from RNAcentral.
UAAUUGAAGAGUUUGAUCAUGGCUCAGAUUGAACGCUGGCGGCAGGCCUAACACAUGCAAGUCGAGCGGUAACAGGAGAAAGCUUGCUUUCUUGCUGACGAGC